UCAUGGGCGCAGGCCUGAACCAGCCAAGUAGCGUGAAGGAUGACUGCCCUAUGGGUUGUAAACUUCUUUUAUAAAGGAAUAAAGUCGGGUAUGUAUACCCGUUUGCAUGUACUUUAUGAAUAAGGAUCGGCUAACUCCGUGCCAGCAGCCGCGGUAAUACGGAGGAUCCGAGCGUUAUCCGGAUUUAUUGGGUUUAAAGGGAGCGUAGAUGGAUGUUUAAGUCAGUUGUGAAAGUUUGCGGCUCAACCGUAAAAUUGCAGUUGAUACUGGAUAUCUUGAGUGCAGUUGAGGCAGGCGGAAUUCGUGGUGUAGCGGUGAAAUGCUUAGAUAUCACGAAGAACUCCGAUUGCGAAGGCAGCCUGCUAAGCUGCAACUGACAUUGAGGCUCGAAAGUGUGGGUAUCAAACAGGAUUAGAUACCCUGGUAGUCCAAGGGCGAAUUC
RNAcentral lists this ribosomal RNA (442 nucleotides) under uncultured bacterium. RNAcentral's name for it is "SSU rRNA". It matches the Rfam family "Bacterial small subunit ribosomal RNA", at positions 369 to 808 of the family's 1533-position model. The record is from RNAcentral.